UGUGAGCCCUGUGAGUCCAGUCAGACCACAACUCCAGGUGAAGGGCGCUGCGCCCUCCACUGAGAAAAAGUUGGAGGGCGCUGCGCCCUCCAACCUCUACAUUGGGAAAAAGUAUGAUAGCUUAUCUUAUCAUGAUGGUAAGGCCGUCUAUAUUUACUGUGUAUGUGCGUGUUGUAAUGGCUGUUCGCUCAAAGUUUAGUCCAAUGGGGGAGAGUGUCCGCGGGGGUCCUUCGGUCAUGCUUGCGGGGCCUUCCUGGCUUUGUUCUCGGUAACCUCGGCGAGCGAGUCCUUGGUAUCGUUGGCCUGCCGAUAUGGAAAACCCAAAUGUGAGGCCUGAUGCUGUUGUGGAUAAUCUCAGCUGUUUUGUUGAAAUGCUGUGCUGACAAAUACAAAAACAUAAAAUUGUAUAUGAAUUUAUAAUGUAGUACUGAGAUUGGAUGAGAAAGACAAUUUUAUGAGGAAGCUGAUUUAAUCACUUUACUCUUUGACAAUCUCAGUGAGUUAAAAUUGUUUUUACCUGAGUGCAUUCAUGAAUGUAUGUGGUUAUUUAUUCUAUGAAAAAAAAAUCAAGUUUUCAUAUUAAAUUUCAAAUAAAUAUUAGGAGAUCUGUUAAUCUUUAAAAUUUUUUAGUGGAAUAUGUAAAUAAUGUUUCAUGUGUUUUACAUUAAGAUCUGUAAAAUUAAUUAUUGAAAUAUAAAAUUAUCAUUAUUAAAAAUUAUAUAAAAACAUUAUUAUAAGUACUUAUAUGUAAUAUAAUAAUAAAUAUAUGUAUUUUUAACAGUAAUAGGUAAUAUUAACAAUAAUGUAAUAACAAUUAUAUAUAUUAUUAACAAUAAAAGGUAAUAUUAAUAACAGAAAAUCUGUAACAAAAAUUAUAAACAAUGUUAUAUUGGGUUGGCAAGAAUAUAAUUUUGGUUUGCAUGAAUAGGUAGCGCUGUAUUCAUUUUGUUGUUCUUCUGACAAUCUUAUAAUUUUUUUUCUUUUGAGAUUUGGCAGCUGACACUUUUAGGUUGCUAUUGAAACAAAAUCCAUGUAUUUUAUUUGAAACUAUUAGUAUACGGUCAGUUUUAACACCUGGUGCAGAAAUAAACAUUUUUAAAAAUAUUUUACUUCUUACUUUCUUGUACAAAGUACAGGAAGUAUUGUAAUCACAAAAAUGUCAGGUAUCAUAUUUCAAUGACAAAUCCAUUUUGGCCGCUCUUGAAUACAUUUGAACCAUGUUUUUGCAUGACAUCUGUACAUAUUGAUAGAAUAAAAAAAACUUUUUAUCCAAAAUAUAUUGUAAAAUGGGUUUAAAAUGUAUUCAGCAGACAUUAUUUCAUGACGCCUGUAUGUACGUAACUCGCACAACUCAAAAACAAAUAGCCUCAGAAUGUUGAAAUUUUGUAUAUCGAACUGCUAUAACAUGUAGUUGUGCUCUUCUCUUUCUGGUUGCAAUCGGCCACACCAAAAGUAUAUAUACUGAAAAAUCGAAACUCUCCAAAAUUUGUCUUCUUGACCACUGGCCAAAUUGCUUGUUUUUGCAUAGAAACUAAUUUUAAUUGUAAAAAUUGUUAUUUUUUAACUGUGCUGGGGGCUUUGUGUUGACGAUGUUUUGAGUUUUUGUGUAUUUUUGCCUUGCCAUGAAGUAAGAAUUGAAUUAAUUGAAUCAGAAAUACAUCUCUAAUGAAAUAAGGAAAUAAGUUUAAAUGAAAUGCAGCAAAAAGUGUGCAUAAUUUAAUAGGCCAUGCAAGGAAGUUGUGGUGUCCACAUCAGAUUUUUUAUUUUCAUACAGGCAAGAAAGUGACUGAGCUUCAUAAAGAAAUAUGUGAAGUUUAUGGUGUUGAUUGCUUUACAGAUUGCAUGUGUCAAAAUUGGUUUAAAAAUUUUUGUUCUGAAGAUUUUUGACUUGACGAUGACUUAAUGUUCUGACUGACGUUCUGAAGUUUGAUGAUGACAAAAUUAAUCGUAAUUGAAUCAAACUGUUAUAUAAUUUUGUGACAGAUAGCAGAGAGGUUAAAUGUAUCAUGGAAAACAAUUGUAAAUCACAUAAAAUGUUUUAAAAUCGUUAAAAAGCUCAAUUUUUUGGAUUCUUUAUUAAUUGAAAGAUAUUUAGUUAAUACAAUGAAUCUGUAUUUGAAAUAUGCAUGUAUGAAUGAAUCUGUAUUGCAUAAUGCAUUUCACCCCUUUUUAAAAUGAAUUAUCACUGAUGAUAAAAAGUGGAUUAUCUACAAUAACAUUAAUUGGAAAAGACCAUGGUUCAAGCAUGAUGAAUCGGCACAAAUCAUAUCGAAAUCUAAAUUGCAUGAGAAAAAGAUCAUGCUGUGAAUUUGUUGGGACUAUAAAAGUAUUGUGUAUUUUGAGCUGCUUUCAAGCAACCAAAUGAUCAUCUCAGAUGUUUUAUGCUGACAUCUUAUGAAAUCGGAUUAAGUAAUCAAAGAGAAAGAAACCAGAAUAGGCAAACUGCAAUGGAAUCAUGUUGCACCGUGACCAUGUGGGGCCUCAUACAUCUUUAGCAACAUGUACAGAAUUAUUGGAAUUUGGUUGGAAAAUGAUAUUGUAUCUUCCUUAUAGCACCAGCUUGCACCAUCAGAUUAUCAUUUAUUUCAAAGUUUACAAAGCUUUGUAAAUCGUCAAAAAUUCAGCAAUAAUGAUGACCUCAAAUCGCACUUGGUUGAGUUUUUUGCUGAUAAAGACCAGAAAUUCAGUGAGUGCAGAAAUCAUGAAGUAACCAAAAAAGAUGGCAAAAGCUCAUUGAACAGAAUGGAAGAUAUUUUUAUAUAGAAAAAAUUAAGUUUUACUUCAUACUAAAAAACCAGAAUUACUUUCUUGCCAACCUGAUAUAAUGAUAAAAUAUUCCUUAUUGUAGUAUGAUUAUAUGAUAACAUUAUGCUAAAAUAAAGCUUGGAUUGUUUAAUGUGACAAAAAAAAAACUGUUUCUUUUCUUUUUUCCUUUGAAAGGUAUUGUUUUUACAUUAGAAUCAUAACUGAAAUUUAUAAAUUGAUUACUGAAAUGUUUUCUUUUUUUUAUUAAAUAUUAGGUGAAGUAGUUAGCAUUUAAUUAUGUGUUACCUAUUCCAAUUUCCUUUUCUGUCCCUUCCUUUGGUUUUAUUGCCUAUUUUAUGUUAUUCUAAACAUUGAUGGCAUCAAUAUUUCUCAUUCCUACACAUAUUUAUAUUUCAUUUUUGAUGAAUGUGAAAGAAAAAACAAAAUUGUUUGUAUGGUUUGUAAAUACUAUAAGCUGUUUUACUAGAAUGAAAAUGAAGAUAUUGGUGCUUAAUAAAAUGUGUUACAGUUAAAUGAAAUUAAGUGGAAGAAAGCUACAUCACUGCAUCACUAUUGAACUGCCAUCAUUGAACUUAAUGCUAGGACAUAGCACUGAAGACACAAUUUUAACAUUUCAAGUUAUAUUAAAUAUUUUUACUUGAAGUUGUUUUUGAGUGUAUGUUUAUUACAUUUGAAAUUUUUGAUCAUGUAAGUUAUUUAUUAGAACUAUUAUUAUUGUUAUAUAAAUAAAAAUAUUUAUUAAAAUAAGGAGA
RNAcentral lists this long non-coding RNA (3518 nucleotides) under Stegodyphus dumicola. RNAcentral's name for it is "uncharacterized LOC118180280". Lineage: Eukaryota; Metazoa; Arthropoda; Arachnida; Araneae; Eresidae. The record is from RNAcentral.